GUAGGGAAUCUUGCGCAAUGGGCGAAAGCCUGACGCAGCCAUGCCGCGUGAAUGAUGAAGGUCUUAGGAUUGUAAAAUUCUUUCACCGGGGACGAUAAUGACGGUACCCGGAGAAGAAGCCCCGGCUAACUUCGUGCCAGCAGCCGCGGUAAUACGAAGGGGGCUAGCGUUGCUCGGAAUUACUGGGCGUAAAGGGCGCGUAGGCGGACAGCUUAGUCAGAGGUGAAAGCCCAGGGCUCAACCUUGGAAUUGCCUUUGAUACUGGCUGUCUUGAGUUUGGGAGAGGUGAGUGGAACUCCGAGUGUAGAGGUGAAAUUCGUAGAUAUUCGGAAGAACACCAGUGGCGAAGGCGACUCACUGGCCCAAUACUGACGCUGAGUCGCGAAAGCGUGGGGAGCAAACAGGAUUAGAUACCCUAGUAGUCC
This 425-nucleotide ribosomal RNA is filed under the name uncultured bacterium. RNAcentral describes it as "partial 16S ribosomal RNA". It matches the Rfam family "Bacterial small subunit ribosomal RNA", at positions 354 to 796 of the family's 1533-position model. The record is from RNAcentral.